UACGUGGGGGGCUAGCGUUGUCCGGAAUCAUUGGGCGUAAAGAGCGUGUAGGCGGCCCGGUAAGUCCGCUGUGAAAGUCGGGGGCUCAACCCUCGAAUGCCGGUGGAUACUGUCGGGCUAGAGUGCGGAAGAGGCGAGUGGAAUUCCUGGUGUAGAGGUGAAAUUCGUAGAUAUUCGGCGGAACACCAGUGGCGAAGGCGACUCACUGGCCCGAUACUGACGCUGAGGCGCGAAAGCGUGGGGAGCAAACAGG
Molecule: ribosomal RNA, 253 nt
Filed under: uncultured bacterium
Lineage: Bacteria
Description: partial 16S ribosomal RNA
Rfam family: Bacterial small subunit ribosomal RNA
Source: RNAcentral